Molecule: ribosomal RNA, 781 nt
Filed under: uncultured Lactobacillus sp.
Lineage: Bacteria; Bacillati; Bacillota; Bacilli; Lactobacillales; Lactobacillaceae
Description: bacterial SSU rRNA
Rfam family: Bacterial small subunit ribosomal RNA
Source: RNAcentral
GACGAACGCUGGCGGCGUGCCUAAUACAUGCAAGUCGAGCGAGCGGAACUAACAGAUUUACUUCGGUAAUGACGUUAGGAAAGCGAGCGGCGGAUGGGUGAGUAACACGUGGGGAACCUGCCCCAUAGUCUGGGAUACCACUUGGAAACAGGUGCUAAUACCGGAUAAGAAAGCAGAUCGCAUGAUCAGCUUUUAAAAGGCGGCGUAAGCUGUCGCUAUGGGAUGGCCCCGCGGUGCAUUAGCUAGUUGGUAAGGUAAAGGCUUACCAAGGCGAUGAUGCAUAGCCGAGUUGAGAGACUGAUCGGCCACAUUGGGACUGAGACACGGCCCAAACUCCUACGGGAGGCAGCAGUAGGGAAUCUUCCACAAUGGACGCAAGUCUGAUGGAGCAACGCCGCGUGAGUGAAGAAGGUUUUCGGAUCGUAAAGCUCUGUUGUUGGUGAAGAAGGAUAGAGGUAGUAACUGGCCUUUAUUUGACGGUAAUCAACCAGAAAGUCACGGCUAACUACGUGCCAGCAGCCGCGGUAAUACGUAGGUGGCAAGCGUUGUCCGGAUUUAUUGGGCGUAAAGCGAGCGCAGGCGGAAGAAUAAGUCUGAUGUGAAAGCCCUCGGCUUAACCGAGGAACUGCAUCGGAAACUGUUUUUCUUGAGUGCAGAAGAGGGGAGUGGAACUCCAUGUGUAGCGGUGGAAUGCGUAGAUAUAUGGAAGAACACCAGUGGCGAAGGCGGCUCUCUGGUCUGCAACUGACGCUGAGGCUCGAAAGCAUGGGUAGCGAACAGG